CCUGGGGGAGGCCUGUCAGAGGGGCACAAAGGAUGUGCCCAGGUACAGAGCCAAGAGAGCAUGCCCCAGAGUUAGUAAACUGAUUGGUUAAGAAAGUCACGUGGUAUGUAGGGAUAUAA
Molecule: long non-coding RNA, 119 nt
Organism: Chiroxiphia lanceolata (lance-tailed manakin)
Lineage: Eukaryota; Metazoa; Chordata; Aves; Passeriformes; Pipridae
Exons: 4
Source: RefSeq, a predicted model, not a curated record